RNAcentral lists this transfer RNA (70 nucleotides) under Panthera pardus (leopard). RNAcentral's name for it is "tRNA-Leu". It matches the Rfam family "tRNA". From Rfam's summary of the family: Transfer RNA (tRNA) molecules are approximately 80 nucleotides in length. Their secondary structure includes four short double-helical elements and three loops (D, anti-codon, and T loops). Further hydrogen bonds mediate the characteristic L-shaped molecular structure. tRNAs have two regions of fundamental functional importance: the anti-codon, which is responsible for specific mRNA codon recognition, and the 3' end, to which the tRNAs corresponding amino acid is attached (by aminoacyl-tRNA synthetases). tRNAs cope with the degeneracy of the genetic code in two manners: having more than one tRNA (with a specific anti-codon) for a particular amino acid; and 'wobble' base-pairing, i.e. permitting non-standard base-pairing at the 3rd anti-codon position. The record is from RNAcentral. Lineage: Eukaryota; Metazoa; Chordata; Mammalia; Carnivora; Felidae.
ACUUUUAUAGGAUGGAAGUAAUCCGUUGGUCUUAGGAGCCAAAAAAUUGGUGCAACUCCAAAUAAAAGUA